This 487-nucleotide ribosomal RNA is filed under the name uncultured bacterium. Its description in RNAcentral is "partial 16S ribosomal RNA". It matches the Rfam family "Bacterial small subunit ribosomal RNA", at positions 28 to 523 of the family's 1533-position model. The record is from RNAcentral.
GAUAAACGCUGGCGGCGCACAUAAGACAUGCAAGUCGAACGGACUUAACUCAUUCUUUUAGAUUGAGAGCGGUUGGUGGCGGACUGGUGAGUAACACGUAAGCAACCUGCCUAUCAGAGGGGAAUAACAGUGAGAAAUCAUUGCUAAUACCGCAUAAGCUAGUAGCAUCGCAUGAUGUAGCUAGAAAAGGAGUAAUCCGCUGAUAGAUGGGCUUGCGUCUGAUUAGCUAGUUGGUGGGGCAACGGCCUACCAAGGCGACGAUCAGUAGCCGGACGGAGAGGUUGAACGGCCACAUUGGGACUGAGAUACGGCCCAGACUCCUACGGGAGGCAACAGUCGGGAAUAUUGCGCAAUGGAGGAAACUCUGACGCAGUGACGCCGCGUAUAGGAAGAAGGUUUUCGGAUUGUAAACUGUUGUCGUGAGGGAAGAAAUUGACAGUACCUCAGGAGGAAGCUCCGGCUAACUAUGUGCCAGCAGCCGCCGUAA